Small nuclear RNA from Cimex lectularius (bed bug), 116 nucleotides. The record is from RefSeq and is a predicted model, not a curated record. Lineage: Eukaryota; Metazoa; Arthropoda; Insecta; Hemiptera; Cimicidae.
GUGUUGUAAGAAAGGAGAGAAGUUUAGCACUCCCCUUGACAAGGAUGAAAUGAACACAUAAGGCUAUAUAAAAUAAAAAAUUCCCAAUUCCCCUAAAAAGCGAAACAGGGAACCCU